UAUCCGUUGGUGAACCAGCGGAGGGAUCAUUACCGAAGUUACCUUCAAAACCCACUGUGAACCUUACCUCUUGCCGCGUUGUCUCGGCGGGAGGCGGUGUGCGUCGCGCGCCCUAGCGGGCCGCGCCGCUCCCGUCCCCGCCGGCAGCGCCAAACUCUAAAUGCACAGCGGACUGUUCGUACUGAUUUACAAAAAAAAACAAGUUAAAACUUUCAACAACGGAUCUCUUGGUUCUG
Molecule: unclassified non-coding RNA, 236 nt
Filed under: plant metagenome
Description: partial contains small subunit ribosomal RNA, internal transcribed spacer 1, and 5.8S ribosomal RNA
Source: RNAcentral